GAUGAACGCUAGCGACAGACUUAACACAUGCAAGUCGAGGGGCAGCACAGGUAGCAAUACCGGGUGGCGACCGGCGCACGGGUGAGUAACGCGUAUGCAACUUACCUAUCAGAGGGGGAUAACCCGGCGAAAGUCGGACUAAUACCGCAUGAAGCAGGGGUCCCGCAUGGGGAUAUUUGCUAAAGAUUCAUCGCUGAUAGAUAGGCAUGCGUUCCAUUAGGCAGUUGGCGGGGUAACGGCCCACCAAACCGACGAUGGAUAGGGGUUCUGAGAGGAAGGUCCCCCACAUUGGUACUGAGACACGGACCAAACUCCUACGGGAGGCAGCAGUGAGGAAUAUUGGUCAAUGGCCGAGAGGCUGAACCAGCCAAGUCGCGUGAGGGAUGAAGGUUCUAUGGAUCGUAAACCUCUUUUAUAAGGGAAUAAAGUGCGGGACGUGUCCCGUUUUGUAUGUACCUUAUGAAUAAGGAUCGGCUAACUCCGUG
RNAcentral lists this ribosomal RNA (485 nucleotides) under uncultured bacterium. Its description in RNAcentral is "partial 16S ribosomal RNA". It matches the Rfam family "Bacterial small subunit ribosomal RNA", at positions 28 to 507 of the family's 1533-position model. The record is from RNAcentral.